UACGUAGGGGGCAAGCGUUAUCCGGAUUUACUGGGUGUAAAGGGAGCGUAGACGGCGCGGCAAGUCUGAAGUGAAAGGAGGGGGCCCGUCCCCGGACUGCUUUGGAAACUGUCAUGCUUGAGUGCAGGAGGGGUAUGCGGAAUUCCUAGUGUAGCGGUGAAAUGCGUAGAUAUUAGGAGGAACACCGGCGGCGAAGGCGGCAUACUGGACUGUAACUGACGUUGAGGCUCGAAGGCGUGGGGAGCAAACA
Molecule: ribosomal RNA, 250 nt
Filed under: uncultured prokaryote
Description: partial 16S ribosomal RNA
Rfam family: Bacterial small subunit ribosomal RNA
Source: RNAcentral